This 290-nucleotide long non-coding RNA is filed under the name Coffea arabica (coffee). Its description in RNAcentral is "long non-coding RNA (CARA_LNC003239)". Lineage: Eukaryota; Viridiplantae; Streptophyta; Magnoliopsida; Gentianales; Rubiaceae. The record is from RNAcentral.
UAAUGUACAAUGAACCCUCAAAUAUAUAUAUAUGGUUAUAAACAUCUCUAAAUUCAUCACAACACACAUUAACCAAAAUGGGUUCCAAAGCCCACAUUAGUUCAAGUACUAACAGCCAUUAUCCAUCCAAACAAUAGAGUACUAAAUUCACAUCAGUUCAACUAGUAACAGCCAUUACGCAUCCAAAAAAACAAAGUACUCUUUCCAAACAAAAACAUAGACUAAAGCAGCAAUUUGUGUCAAACUGAAGUCAUCUUCAUGAGCAUAUCCAAAAGCCAACCUUUUUCAUC